RNAcentral lists this ribosomal RNA (397 nucleotides) under uncultured bacterium. RNAcentral describes it as "bacterial SSU rRNA". It matches the Rfam family "Bacterial small subunit ribosomal RNA", at positions 358 to 772 of the family's 1533-position model. The record is from RNAcentral.
GGAAUCUUGGACAAUGGGGGCAACCCUGAUCCAGCGAUGCCGCGUGAGCGAAGAAGGCCUUAGGGUUGUAAAGCUCUUUCGCCCGCGACGAUGAUGACGGUAGCGGGAGAAGAAGCCCCGGCUAACUCCGUGCCAGCAGCCGCGGUAAUACGGAGGGGGCUAGCGUUGUCCGGAAUUACUGGGCGUAAAGCGCGCGUAGGCGGUCCACCAAGUCGGGGGUGAAAGCCCGGGGCUCAACCCCGGAAUGUCCCCCGAAACUGAUGGACUGGAGUUCGGGAGAGGAGAGCGGAAUUCCCAGUGUAGAGGUGAAAUUCGUAGAUAUUGGGAAGAACACCGGUGGCGAAGGCGGCUCUCUGGCCCGCAACUGACGCUGAGGCGCGAAAGCGUGGGGAGCAAA